RNAcentral lists this ribosomal RNA (2929 nucleotides) under Escherichia coli. Its description in RNAcentral is "partial 23S ribosomal RNA". It matches the Rfam family "Bacterial large subunit ribosomal RNA". The record is from RNAcentral. Lineage: Bacteria; Pseudomonadati; Pseudomonadota; Gammaproteobacteria; Enterobacterales; Enterobacteriaceae.
GGGUUGUGAGGUUAAGCGACUAAGCGUACACGGUGGAUGCCCUGGCAGUCAGAGGCGAUGAAGGACGUGCUAAUCUGCGAUAAGCGUCGGUAAGGUGAUAUGAACCGUUAUAACCGGCGAUUUCCGAAUGGGGAAACCCAGUGUGUUUCGACACACUAUCAUUAACUGAAUCCAUAGGUUAAUGAGGCGAACCGGGGGAACUGAAACAUCUAAGUACCCCGAGGAAAAGAAAUCAACCGAGAUUCCCCCAGUAGCGGCGAGCGAACGGGGAGCAGCCCAGAGCCUGAAUCAGUGUGUGUGUUAGUGGAAGCGUCUGGAAAGGCGCGCGAUACAGGGUGACAGCCCCGUACACAAAAAUGCACAUACUGUGAGCUCGAUGAGUAGGGCGGGACACGUGGUAUCCUGUCUGAAUAUGGGGGGACCAUCCUCCAAGGCUAAAUACUCCUGACUGACCGAUAGUGAACCAGUACCGUGAGGGAAAGGCGAAAAGAACCCCGGCGAGGGGAGUGAAAAAGAACCUGAAACCGUGUACGUACAAGCAGUGGGAGCACAGAGCAAUCUGUGUGACUGCGUACCUUUUGUAUAAUGGGUCAGCGACUUAUAUUCUGUAGCAAGGUUAACCGAAUAGGGGAGCCGAAGGGAAACCGAGUCUUAACUGGGCGUUAAGUUGCAGGGUAUAGACCCGAAACCCGGUGAUCUAGCCAUGGGCAGGUUGAAGGUUGGGUAACACUAACUGGAGGACCGAACCGACUAAUGUUGAAAAAUUAGCGGAUGACUUGUGGCUGGGGGUGAAAGGCCAAUCAAACCGGGAGAUAGCUGGUUCUCCCCGAAAGCUAUUUAGGUAGCGCCUCGUGAAUUCAUCUCCGGGGGUAGAGCACUGUUUCGGCAAGGGGGUCAUCCCGACUUACCAACCCGAUGCAAACUGCGAAUACCGGAGAAUGUUAUCACGGGAGACACACGGCGGGUGCUAACGUCCGUCGUGAAGAGGGAAACAACCCAGACCGCCAGCUAAGGUCCCAAAGUCAUGGUUAAGUGGGAAACGAUGUGGGAAGGCCCAGACAGCCAGGAUGUUGGCUUAGAAGCAGCCAUCAUUUAAAGAAAGCGUAAUAGCUCACUGGUCGAGUCGGCCUGCGCGGAAGAUGUAACGGGGCUAAACCAUGCACCGAAGCUGCGGCAGCGACGCUUAUGCGUUGUUGGGUAGGGGAGCGUUCUGUAAGCCUGUGAAGGUGUGCUGUGAGGCAUGCUGGAGGUAUCAGAAGUGCGAAUGCUGACAUAAGUAACGAUAAAGCGGGUGAAAAGCCCGCUCGCCGGAAGACCAAGGGUUCCUGUCCAACGUUAAUCGGGGCAGGGUGAGUCGACCCCUAAGGCGAGGCCGAAAGGCGUAGUCGAUGGGAAACAGGUUAAUAUUCCUGUACUUGGUGUUACUGCGAAGGGGGGACGGAGAAGGCUAUGUUGGCCGGGCGACGGUUGUCCCGGUUUAAGCGUGUAGGCUGGUUUUCCAGGCAAAUCCGGAAAAUCAAGGCUGAGGCGUGAUGACGAGGCACUACGGUGCUGAAGCAACAAAUGCCCUGCUUCCAGGAAAAGCCUCUAAGCAUCAGGUAACAUCAAAUCGUACCCCAAACCGACACAGGUGGUCAGGUAGAGAAUACCAAGGCGCUUGAGAGAACUCGGGUGAAGGAACUAGGCAAAAUGGUGCCGUAACUUCGGGAGAAGGCACGCUGAUAUGUAGGUGAAGUCCCUCGCGGAUGGAGCUGAAAUCAGUCGAAGAUACCAGCUGGCUGCAACUGUUUAUUAAAAACACAGCACUGUGCAAACACGAAAGUGGACGUAUACGGUGUGACGCCUGCCCGGUGCCGGAAGGUUAAUUGAUGGGGUUAGCGGUAACGCGAAGCUCUUGAUCGAAGCCCCGGUAAACGGCGGCCGUAACUAUAACGGUCCUAAGGUAGCGAAAUUCCUUGUCGGGUAAGUUCCGACCUGCACGAAUGGCGUAAUGAUGGCCAGGCUGUCUCCACCCGAGACUCAGUGAAAUUGAACUCGCUGUGAAGAUGCAGUGUACCCGCGGCAAGACGGAAAGACCCCGUGAACCUUUACUAUAGCUUGACACUGAACAUUGAGCCUUGAUGUGUAGGAUAGGUGGGAGGCUUUGAAGUGUGGACGCCAGUCUGCAUGGAGCCGGCCUUGAAAUACCACCCUUUAAUGUUUGAUGUUCUAACGUUGGCCCCUGAUCGGGGUUGCGGACAGUGUCUGGUGGGUAGUUUGACUGGGGCGGUCUCCUCCUAAAGAGUAACGGAGGAGCACGAAGGUUGGCUAAUCCUGGUCGGACAUCAGGAGGUUAGUGCAAUGGCAUAAGCCAGCUUGACUGCGAGCGUGACGGCGCGAGCAGGUGCGAAAGCAGGUCAUAGUGAUCCGGUGGUUCUGAAUGGAAGGGCCAUCGCUCAACGGAUAAAAGGUACUCCGGGGAUAACAGGCUGAUACCGCCCAAGAGUUCAUAUCGACGGCGGUGUUUGGCACCUCGAUGUCGGCUCAUCACAUCCUGGGGCUGAAGUAGGUCCCAAGGGUAUGGCUGUUCGCCAUUUAAAGUGGUACGCGAGCUGGGUUUAGAACGUCGUGAGACAGUUCGGUCCCUAUCUGCCGUGGGCGCUGGAGAACUGAGGGGGGCUGCUCCUAGUACGAGAGGACCGGAGUGGACGCAUCACUGGUGUUCGGGUUGUCAUGCCAAUGGCACUGCCCGGUAGCUAAAUGCGGAAGAGAUAAGUGCUGAAAGCAUCUAAGCACGAAACUUGCCCCGAGAUGAGUUCUCCCUGACUCCUUGAGAGUCCUGAAGGAACGUUGAAGACGACGACGUUGAUAGGCCGGGUGUGUAAGCGCAGCGAUGCGUUGAGCUAACCGGUACUAAUGAACCGUGAGGCUUAACCUUACAACGCCGAAG